GACGAACGCUGGCGGCGUGCUUAACACAUGCAAGUCGAACGGAAAGGCCCUGCUUUUGUGGGGUUCUCGCGUGGCGAACGGGUGAGUAACACGUGAGUAACCUGCCCUUGACUUUGGGAUAACUUCAGGAAACUGGGGCUAAUACCGGAUAGGAGCUCCUGCUGCAUGGUGGGGUUUGGAAAGUUUCGGCGGUUGGGGAUGGACUGGCGGCUUAUCAGCUUGUUGGUGGGGUAGUGGCUUACCAAGGCUUUGACGGGUAGCCGGCCUGAGAGGGUGACCGGCGACAUUGGGACUGAGAUACGGCCCAGACUCCUACGGGAGGCAGCAGUGGGGAAUAUUGCACAAUGAGCGGGAGCGUGAGGCAGCGACGCUGCGUUCGGAAUGACGGCCUUCGGGUGGUAAACCGCUGUCGCCUGUGACGAAGCGUGAGUGACGGUAAUGGGUAAAGAAGCACCGGCUAACUACGUG
RNAcentral lists this ribosomal RNA (468 nucleotides) under uncultured bacterium. Its description in RNAcentral is "partial 16S ribosomal RNA". It matches the Rfam family "Bacterial small subunit ribosomal RNA", at positions 28 to 507 of the family's 1533-position model. The record is from RNAcentral.